Balaenoptera acutorostrata (minke whale) is the source of this 2306-nucleotide long non-coding RNA. RefSeq lists it as uncharacterized. The transcript is spliced from 3 exons. The record is from RefSeq and is a predicted model, not a curated record. Lineage: Eukaryota; Metazoa; Chordata; Mammalia; Artiodactyla; Balaenopteridae.
AACAAUCACAGAUGAGGGUGGUCAGUGCUGGCCAACAAGCCCUGCCUCUGCAUUUGAACUCAUGAACCAGAACCAACCCAAACACGUGACAUGGCUUUUUUAAAAUUCCCCAGAUUCAGUAUGUCCUUGCUUAUUCAGAUUUCACCAAUUUGAAAUUGGUGAGAAUUGCGUCAGAGGUCUGAUUGCAGUUUACCUUUACAGCAUCUCCGAUGGAAGGGCUUGCUGAGCAAAUGAUGACCGUGAACAAGAUUACAGGGGAGUGGAGUUUAAAGUACUGCAGAGGGCAAAUUGCUUGGGAGUCCUCUGGGCAAUGGUUGAUGUCCUAAGUACAAAUCAUUCUUCGCUAUUCAUUAAAGUAGGUGCCCUAAAGAGUCCUAGCAGCUUGGUUCCAGUGAUUAUAUGUAUUUGCAAGUGAUGAAAACAGCAUUUCUUUUCACAUAGCCUAUAAUUCAAACCUUUGAUUCGUUUCCACUGGAUGUGCCUCUAAUGAAGGCAAAGUGAGGUUUCACUUUACGUAUUUCAAAUCUUCUUCAUCUUUGGCAUAACUCUAAGUGACUCUGCUUUCCAAAAAGAACACUAACGCAGGAUGGGGAAGGGAAGAGGGGCAAACUGUACUUAAUUACUGACACCUGCUACCUGUGAGCUCAACCUGUGAGCUAUAAGUUAUAGAACCUCCUGGCACCCCCGAUUCCUCGCAGGUAAAAUGGGGAUAAGUUCAGCACUUACCUCAUAUUCUGAUCAAUAUCCCUAACAAUAUUUGAAAUUCAGCCUUUCCUUACAUCCUGUCCUGACUCUGCCACUUCCUAACUGUUUAAUCUUAGACAUGCUAUUUACCUCUCUGGGCCUCAAUUUCCUCAUCUGUAAAAUGAGGAUAAUAAUAGUACUUACUUCUUAACAUUGAAUAAUGCAUAUAAAUAGCAUAGCAGAGAGCCUGGCAUAUACUAAGUGCUCUGUAAGUGGCAGUCUUCAUCAUUGUAAUUAUUAAUAUUAUUAUUGCCAUAGGACCAGAAGCACAGUUGUGUGAAUUCUUCCUCUGUGGGCUGGAUUAGCACUAGGUUUGCCCCAGGAUUAGGCAGCACAGAAUGAGUGAAUGAGCAUGAGAUUGCUGCUGAGAAGCUCUUUCAAGUCCUCUUUGGGGCUCUCUCAGAAAAUAAUAUCUAUCUCCGCUCACAGCAGUGACAUGAUGUCGGAGCUACAGAUUUGAACUGAAUCAUGAACCAGAAACCGGAAGAAACCACAAAACUUUGCUGUACCCCAAACCAAAUCCAAAUAUUAAUUUUUAAGUUGAACCAUGAACCAAAUAAAAUGAACCAAAAAAGAAAAAAGAAAAAAAGGAGUAGGGAAAAGGAGAAAAAAAUUCUUAGUAAUCUAACUAGAAGUGAACCUUUAUGUUUUAUAAGAUGAACUAAAGCAGAGCUGGAAUAUGAACACAUUGAUUCAGUUGGAGUCCCUGGAGAAGAAACAGCAGCACCUCGUGUGCCUGUGAUACUUGGCUGCUGCCCGCCUGCUGUCCUGAUGGGAUGUGCCCUGUGACUCCUCCUCCAUCCCUCUACCCCCAUCCCCAUCCUGGGAACCGAUCAACAGCUGGAGCCAUCCUGGGGGACCAGAAGGCUCAGUUUCAUGGAUGAGAGGAAAGCAAUAGAAUACAGUCCUCUUUAGGCAAGGGAGAAACAGCUGUGCCCCCUUUUGGAGCCCCAGUGAGUGUCCAGCAUUUGUCUGCAGCUUCCAGAACGUCGGAAUGUUCCUUGAAUGGUACAUUUGUUCCAGUUGAGAGUUCGAGGGAUGGGCAGGGGUGGGGCUGGGAACUGAAGACGGGUGAAGGGAGGUGGGUGUUGUUCAGAGCCCCACACCUGCUUUUGCUAAUUCCAGGCAGCAGGGCUGGCUGUUUCACCCUGACUGAGCUGAAUUAGAAACAUAAACUACAAAGGAGAGAAUUCUCAGCCAAAGGGGCCUUUAGAAGGCAUGACCAUCGACUUUAGCAACCUAGACCCUUGGCACUGGGAGACUCUUAUUUUAUCCAUAGAGUUAUCUAUUUUUUUUCUUCUGUGGGUUAACUGAAUUCAAACCAGCAGCUGCUCUUUUCCUGGGAUGUUCAGAGACUAUGGCGAGUGUGAAUUUUACCACAAGCUAAAUCUCCUGAGAAGGAUCAACAUUAAUAAUUCAAGAGGCAGUGAUCCUGUUACAUGAAGUGCUAGAGAACUUUGCAGACAAGCCCAUCCAACGUAUGGUAAAGGAGUCCUGGACACCAAGCCAAAAGCAAAGGACACCCGACUGGGGCAUUGGGACAACUGGGACUUACUCCAACU